RNAcentral lists this ribosomal RNA (377 nucleotides) under uncultured bacterium. RNAcentral describes it as "bacterial SSU rRNA". It matches the Rfam family "Bacterial small subunit ribosomal RNA", at positions 28 to 408 of the family's 1533-position model. The record is from RNAcentral.
GACGAACGCUGGCGGCGUGCUUAACACAUGCAAGUCGAGCGGAAAGGCCCUUCGGGGUACUCGAGCGGCGAACGGGUGAGUAACACGUGAGUAACCUGCCCUUGGCUCUGGGAUAGCUCCGGGAAACCGGAAUUAAUACCGGAUAUGACCUCGGCCGACAUCGGCUGUGGUGGAAAGAUUUAUCGGCCAGGGAUGGGCUCGCGGCCUAUCAGCUAGUUGGUGGGGUAACGGCCUACCAAGGCGACGACGGGUAGCCGGCCUGAGAGGGCGACCGGCCACACUGGGACUGAGACACGGCCCAGACUCCUACGGGAGGCAGCAGUGGGGAAGUAUUGCGCAAUGGGCGAAAGCCUGACGCAGCGACGCCGCGUGGGGGA